AGCUUCCUUCGGGAAGUGGAUUAGCGGCGGACGGGUGAGUAACACGUGGGUAACCUGCCUCAAAGUGGGGGAUAGCCUUCCGAAAGGAAGAUUAAUACCGCAUAAUAUAAGAGAAUCGCAUGAUUUUCUUAUCAAAGAUUUAUUGCUUUGAGAUGGACCCGCGGCGCAUUAGCUAGUUGGUAAGGUAACGGCUUACCAAGGCAACGAUGCGUAGCCGACCUGAGAGGGUGAUCGGCC
RNAcentral lists this ribosomal RNA (237 nucleotides) under Clostridium botulinum. Its description in RNAcentral is "partial 16S ribosomal RNA". It matches the Rfam family "Bacterial small subunit ribosomal RNA", at positions 72 to 309 of the family's 1533-position model. Lineage: Bacteria; Bacillati; Bacillota; Clostridia; Eubacteriales; Clostridiaceae. The record is from RNAcentral.